RNAcentral lists this ribosomal RNA (497 nucleotides) under uncultured bacterium. RNAcentral describes it as "partial 16S ribosomal RNA". It matches the Rfam family "Bacterial small subunit ribosomal RNA", at positions 28 to 507 of the family's 1533-position model. The record is from RNAcentral.
GAUGAACGCUGGCGGCGUGCCUAAUACAUGCAAGUCGAGCGAACAGAUAAGGAGCUUGCUCCUUUGACGUUAGCGGCGGACGGGUGAGUAACACGUGGAUAACCUACCUAUAAGACUGGGAUAACUUCGGGAAACCGGAGCUAAUACCGGAUAACAUAUUGAACCGCAUGGUUCGAUAGUGAAAGGCGGCUUUGCUGUCACUUAUAGAUGGAUCCGCGCCGUAUUAGCUAGUUGGUAAGGUAACGGCUUACCAAGGCAACGAUACGUAGCCGACCUGAGAGGGUGAUCGGCCACACUGGAACUGAGACACGGUCCAGACUCCUACGGGAGGCAGCAGUAGGGAAUCUUCCGCAAUGGGCGAAAGCCUGACGGAGCAACGCCGCGUGAGUGAUGAAGGUCUUCGGAUCGUAAAACUCUGUUAUCAGGGAAGAACAAAUGUGUAAGUAACUGUGCACAUCUUGACGGUACCUGAUCAGAAAGCCACGGCUAACUACGUG